AUUUGGUUACUAUGAAACGACUUACGGAAAUCAAAUGGAUUUGAUCACUAGUUUAGUUUUUAAACAAAUCAAAAAAAGAAAAUAAAAUAAAAUAAAGAUGGGGCCGAAAAUGCAAAUAAUAAAAAAAUUAAAGACAUUUAUCACGUUUCUUCAUCACAAAAUAUUAAGAUCUGUUCACUCUCUCCAUACGCUCUCUUUCUCUCUCUACCAAUUCUCGCAUAAUAUUACAGAAAAUCAAGAAAAAAUUCUCUCAUAAUUUCUUCAUUAUGUUUGCACCAAAAUCCCUCUUAUCUUACCUCUUUUGUUUUCCCAAAAAAUAUUCGCCUAUUUCUCCCAAUUUCUGCAAGCCCUAGUUCCUACCCAUGUUCGAGAAUUUUCGAAUUCAUUAAGGAGAUUUGGAAGAUUUGAUUACAGGAAAAGAGAAUUUUCGAAUUCAUUAAUUUCCCCUUCUUCUCCGGGAAGUUUCAUAUCUAAUCCUUCGGUUCCCUCUUCUUCUUUGUAUUCGAUUCUUUUCAAAGAGAUGGAGCUGACAUAGAAAGUAGUAUUAGCUUACCGGGUGUUGCUCAUGAUUAUAUGAGAUUUAUUUGUCGUGGAUCCAGGUGACUAGGUUGGUGGUCAAUUGAUGAAGGGAGUCGGGAGGAGCAAGUUCAGCUAUAUUGUGCAUUGGGAUCUAGGUGAGUUUUCUGAAAUCAAAGUUCUGAUCCAUUUCAUGCAAUAUUUCGUAUUAAUUGUUUUUUAAGCUUCUUCAAUUAUUAUAUGAGGUAGGACAAAUGAAUUACAAUUUCCGUCCUAACUAAUAAUUCUCAGGCAAUGCAUCACAUUAAACACAUGGACUGGACGAGGUAAGUAGCUACUUAUGCAAGAGCCCAGAUACAUUAUUGAAUU
Erythranthe guttata (spotted monkey flower) is the source of this 885-nucleotide non-coding RNA. NCBI's taxonomy places the organism in Eukaryota, Viridiplantae, Streptophyta, Magnoliopsida, Lamiales, Phrymaceae. The record is from RefSeq and is a predicted model, not a curated record.